UACGGAGGAUGCGAGCGUUAUCCGGAUUUAUUAGGUAUAAAGGGUGCGUAGGCGGACCAGUUAGUCAGUGGUGAAAUACUAGGGCUUAACCCUAGAACUGCCAUUGAUACUGCUGGUCUUGAGUACAAUUGAGGUAGGCGGAAUGUGUGGUGUAGCGGUGAAAUGCUUAGAUAUCACACAGAACACCGAUUGCGAAGGCAGCUUACUAAGCUGUAACUGACGCUGAUGCACGAAAGCAUGGGGAGCAAACAGG
Molecule: ribosomal RNA, 253 nt
Filed under: uncultured bacterium
Lineage: Bacteria
Description: partial 16S ribosomal RNA
Rfam family: Bacterial small subunit ribosomal RNA
Source: RNAcentral